RNAcentral lists this long non-coding RNA (280 nucleotides) under Elaeis guineensis (African oil palm). Its description in RNAcentral is "long non-coding RNA (EGUI_LNC021703)". Lineage: Eukaryota; Viridiplantae; Streptophyta; Magnoliopsida; Arecales; Arecaceae. The record is from RNAcentral.
CAGGAAUCUGACUACUAAGAUGAAAAGGAGAAAUGACUCGAACAUAUAGGUAGCAAAGGCUGCAGAAAUAACCAACAUAUGAUCCAACAGUUGCAUAUCACUUGAGCCAGAAAUAUAUGAGAUCAAAAAUUUUGUAGAAACUUAAAUAGAAUGGGAAGGAAAAUGAGCAAAAGAGCAGGGACAUAUCUCGGAUGAAGAAAGAGAAGGGAGGGAGUGAGGCUUAGAGUUGCCUUUGAUCUGUCGCUAUGACGAAGAAGGAGGAGAUCUGGUCCAUCACUAU